UACGAGAGGUGCAAGCGUUAUUCGGAAUUAUUGGGCGUAAAGGGUGCGUAGGCGGGAUGACAAGUCUGUUGUUAAAUAUCCUGGCUCAACCAGGAAAGUGCAAUGGAAACUGUUAUUCUAGAGGGUGAGAGAGAGGUGGAAUUCCAGGAGUUAGCGGUCAAAUGCGUAGAUCUCUGGAGGAACACCGAUGGCGAAGGCAGCUUCUUGGCUCAUUUCUGACGCUGAGGCACGAAAGCGUGGGGAGCAAACAGG
Molecule: ribosomal RNA, 252 nt
Filed under: uncultured bacterium
Lineage: Bacteria
Description: partial 16S ribosomal RNA
Rfam family: Bacterial small subunit ribosomal RNA
Source: RNAcentral